CAGAUAUUAGUUUAAUAUUAAAAUGUUAAUUUUGGAGAUUAAUGAUAAGAGGUUUUUUAUAUCUGA
This 66-nucleotide transfer RNA is filed under the name Paridea biplagiata. RNAcentral's name for it is "tRNA-Pro". Lineage: Eukaryota; Metazoa; Arthropoda; Insecta; Coleoptera; Chrysomelidae. The record is from RNAcentral.